UGGGGAAUUUUGGACAAUGGGCGAAAGCCUGAUCCAGCAAUGCCGCGUGUGUGAAGAAGGCCUUCGGGUUGUAAAGCACUUUUGUCCGGAAAGAAAUCCUUGGCUCUAAUACAGUCGGGGGAUGACGGUACCGGAAGAAUAAGCACCGGCUAACUACGUGCCAGCAGCCGCGGUAAUACGUAGGGUGCAAGCGUUAAUCGGAAUUACUGGGCGUAAAGCGUGCGCAGGCGGUUUGCUAAGACCGAUGUGAAAUCCCCGGGCUCAACCUGGGAACUGCAUUGGUGACUGGCAGGCUAGAGUAUGGCAGAGGGGGGUAGAAUUCCACGUGUAGCAGUGAAAUGCGUAGAGAUGUGGAGGAAUACCGAUGGCGAAGGCAGCCCCCUGGGGCCAAUACUGACGCUCAUGCACGAAAGCGUGGGGAGCAAACAGGAUUAGAUACCCUGGUAGUCCACGCCCUAAACGAUGUCAACUAGUUGUUGGGGAUUCAUUUCCUCAGUAACGUAGCUAACGCGUGAAGUUGACCGCCUGGGGAGUACGGUCGCAAGAUUAAAACUCAAAGGAAUUGACGGGGUCAUAGCUGUUUCCU
RNAcentral lists this ribosomal RNA (586 nucleotides) under uncultured bacterium. RNAcentral's name for it is "partial 16S ribosomal RNA". It matches the Rfam family "Bacterial small subunit ribosomal RNA", at positions 355 to 1375 of the family's 1533-position model. The record is from RNAcentral.